GCCGCUGACACGGGGUGCCGCAAGGCUGAGAUCACACCCGUCGAACCUGCUCAGACAAUGCUGGCGAAGGGAUGUCACGAUGGCUCUGC
RNAcentral lists this non-coding RNA (89 nucleotides) under Actinomyces denticolens. RNAcentral's name for it is "TPP sequence". It matches the Rfam family "TPP riboswitch aptamer (THI element)". From Rfam's summary of the family: Vitamin B(1) in its active form thiamin pyrophosphate (TPP) is an essential coenzyme that is synthesised by coupling of pyrimidine and thiazole moieties in bacteria. The previously detected thiamin-regulatory element, thi box was extended, resulting in a new, highly conserved RNA secondary structure, the THI element, which is widely distributed in eubacteria and also occurs in some archaea. Analysis of operon structures identified a large number of new candidate thiamin-regulated genes, mostly transporters, in various prokaryotic organisms. The record is from RNAcentral. Lineage: Bacteria; Bacillati; Actinomycetota; Actinomycetes; Actinomycetales; Actinomycetaceae.